Molecule: long non-coding RNA, 369 nt
Organism: Gavialis gangeticus (Gharial)
Lineage: Eukaryota; Metazoa; Chordata; Crocodylia; Gavialidae
Exons: 2
Source: RefSeq, a predicted model, not a curated record
GUCCUCCCCAGCAGCUGCUGUUAAAUAAAGAGUUUCUGCCAACUUCGAAACCAAACACAAGGUGAAGCGUGUUUCUUCCACAAUUCUUGGUGCUGUGACUCAGAUGGCAACGCUCAGCUGAGAGUACUGACAGGCUUGUGGACCAUUCCCCUCUGAAACCCCAGGUGUCAAGUCAAGGUCCCAGAAGUUUUACCCAGAGAGCCUGAAGAAGCCUGCCAUUCCUUGCAGCCAGGAAAUUGGGUUCAUGUAAAAAUCCACCAAAGAAAUUCAGCUUUAGAACCCCACUGGAUAGGUCCGUUCCAGGUUCUUCUCACCACUAACACUGCAGUAAGUGUUGGGGACUAUCUACUUGGAUCCACGCAUUGCACU